AUGACUGUGACCUUCCUGACUGAAGUAAUGGUCUCUGCAAACGCAUAUGCACUUUGGAGCAGGAAAGGUGACAGCCAUAAAGAAAAUGAAAAGAAGUUGAAAGAAAAUGCCCUUUCCUCUGAAAAGAAAGCAGAAGAGUCUAGGCACCCAAAAGCCCUUCUGUUGAUACCCACGCUAGCAUCCAGGUAUGAAGAGGAAGGAGGGAGAGUCCUUAAGAAAAAUUGCUAG
Molecule: long non-coding RNA, 228 nt
Filed under: Apteryx owenii (little spotted kiwi)
Lineage: Eukaryota; Metazoa; Chordata; Aves; Apterygiformes; Apterygidae
Description: lncRNA (ENSAOWG00000002706.1)
Source: RNAcentral